This 406-nucleotide ribosomal RNA is filed under the name uncultured bacterium. RNAcentral describes it as "partial 16S ribosomal RNA". It matches the Rfam family "Bacterial small subunit ribosomal RNA", at positions 30 to 526 of the family's 1533-position model. The record is from RNAcentral.
AUUGAACGCUGGCGGCAGGCCUAACACAUGCAAGUCGAACGAGUGGCGGACGGGUGAGUAAUGUCUGGGAAACUGCCUGAUUGAGGGGGAUAACUACUGGAAACGGUAGCUAAUACCGCAUACCAUCGGAUGUGCCCAGGUGUGAUGAGCUAGUAGGUGGGGUAAAGGCUCACCUAGGCGACGAUCCCUAGCUGGUCUGAGAGGAUGCCCAGCCCGGCUGGAACUGAGACACGGUCCAGACUCCUACGGGAGACAGCAGAGGGGAAUAAUGCACAAUGGGCGCAAGCCUGAUACAGCCAUGCCGCGUGUAUGAAGAAGGCCUUCGAGUUGUAAAGUACUUUCAGCGAGGAGGCGUUAACCGCAGAAGAAGCACCGGCUAACUCCGUGCCAGCAGCCGCGGUAAUAC